Molecule: long non-coding RNA, 720 nt
Filed under: Hordeum vulgare
Lineage: Eukaryota; Viridiplantae; Streptophyta; Magnoliopsida; Poales; Poaceae
Description: long non-coding RNA (HVUL_LNC020301)
Source: RNAcentral
GGGGAAAAGGUGCAUCCAGACCGCUCGACGGACCGAUAUAGGCUCGCGUUGGAUCCCACAACAUAUCCGAACAGCGCGAUCCAUACGUAUGCACGUGGUUUGACGGUUGGCGCUCGAGAUGCCAAAAACACUAAUGAAAGCUGCUAUAACUGAAAUGUUGCCUUAUUGGUUAAAUGGUCACACCAAUGGAUACAUAUUAAUGAGAAGAAUCUUAUGUGCACCUACAACCUAGGUGUAGUUCCCUUAUUUAAACUCAUAUAUUAAAAAAUAAAAUAGUUGAAUACAAUCAUUUCUUCGCCAUGCAGGGCGAAAAACCAUUACAGAGAAAACCAUCUGAGCUAACUUUCCUAUUUUGUGAGUCACCGCAUUAUACCUUGUCCAUUAAUCUUCACCAUCUUAAAAUUUGGAAGAAGCUUGGUGAUGGCUACCGCUUCCUUGUUCGGAUCCACAAGCGAAGACCUAUCAAGAUUAUAAUGUGCAAGGAAGAAUACCAUAAGAGAGCUUAAAUCUAUCUGCAGUUGUUUUAGUGUCAGAAGCAAAGUCUUUCUCCAAAAAAACAAAGAGAUGUCUGCAAAUGUUGGCCGGAUUUUCCUUCUUAGUUCUAACAAAAUUAGCAGAUUAUUCCAUCUAACCAGUUUCUUACACAAAACCCAAGAAAGAUGUAAUAAAGCGAAUUGAAAGGUGUUAGCUCAUCAUGAUAUGUCGUUGUUUGCAUGUCCA